GGGUAGGUAGCUCAGUGGUAGAGCAUUCGGCUGCAAUCCGAAUGGUCCCUGGUUCGAACCCGGGUCUGCCCU
Diplonema papillatum is the source of this 72-nucleotide non-coding RNA. The record is from the annotation of a GenBank genome assembly. Lineage: Eukaryota; Euglenozoa; Diplonemea; Diplonemida; Diplonemidae.